This 496-nucleotide ribosomal RNA is filed under the name uncultured bacterium. RNAcentral's name for it is "partial 16S ribosomal RNA". It matches the Rfam family "Bacterial small subunit ribosomal RNA", at positions 28 to 506 of the family's 1533-position model. The record is from RNAcentral.
GAUGAACGCUGGCGGCGUGCCUAAUACAUGCAAGUCGAGCGAACGGACGAGAAGCUUGCUUCUCUGAUGUUAGCGGCGGACGGGUGAGUAACACGUGGAUAACCUACCUAUAAGACUGGGAUAACUUCGGGAAACCGGAGCUAAUACCGGAUAAUAUUUUGAACCGCAUGGUUCAAAAGUGAAAGACGGUCUUGCUGUCACUUAUAGAUGGAUCCGCGCUGCAUUAGCUAGUUGGUAAGGUAACGGCUUACCAAGGCAACGAUGCAUAGCCGACCUGAGAGGGUGAUCGGCCACCCAGGACCUGAGACACGGUCCAGACACCGACGGGCGGCAGCGGUAGGGAAUCUUCCGAAAUGGGCGAAAGCCUGACGGAGCAACGCCGCGUGAGUGAUGAAGGUCUGCGGAUCGUAAAACUCUGUUAUUAGGGAAGAACAUAUGUGUAAGUAACUGUGCACAUCUGGACGGUACCUAAACAGAAAGCCACGGCUAACUACGU